CCUACGGGUGGCAGCAGUGAGGAAUAUUGGUCAAUGGGCGCGCGCCUGAACCCUCCAAGUAGCGUGAAGGAUGACUGCCCUACGGGUUGUAAACUUCUUUUAUAAAGGAAUCAAGUGAGGCACUUGUGCCUUUUUGUAUGUACUUUAUGAAUAAGGAUCGGCGAACUCCGUGCCAGCAGCCGCGGUAAUACGGAGGAUCCGAGCGUUAUCCGGAUUUAGUGGGUUUAAACGGAGCGUAGAUGGGUUGUUAAGUCAGUUGUGAAAGUUUGCGGCUCAACCGUAAAAUUGCAAUUGAUACUGGCAGUCUUGAGUACAGUUGAGGUAGGCGGAAUUCGUGGUGUAGCGGUGAAAUGCUGAGAUAUCACGAAGAACUCCGAGUGCGAAGGCAGCUUACUAAACUGCCACUGACAUUGAUGCUCGAAAGUGUGGGUAUCAAACAGGAUUAGAUACCCGUGUAGUC
Molecule: ribosomal RNA, 460 nt
Filed under: uncultured bacterium
Lineage: Bacteria
Description: partial 16S ribosomal RNA
Rfam family: Bacterial small subunit ribosomal RNA
Source: RNAcentral